RNAcentral lists this long non-coding RNA (661 nucleotides) under Rattus norvegicus (Norway rat). RNAcentral's name for it is "long non-coding RNA NONRATT031373". Lineage: Eukaryota; Metazoa; Chordata; Mammalia; Rodentia; Muridae. The record is from RNAcentral.
AGGAAAGAUGCUCCCUACAAAGAAUGUAGCUCAUCUUCUCUCUUUCAGUAACCCCAAGUGCCGUAUCAGAAUGUUAUACCAAGAGCAAUCACAUACGGCUGGGAAUAUCCGCCAUGUUUGUGGUGUUUAUGGCAGUUUUCCUGGCCGAAGCCUGGUACAGUCAGAGGGCGUCACUAAGCAGACACAGGCCCUACAGCACCCCAGGGCCACCAUGAAUCAUUGGUCAAAGCAGACAAGUUGCUCUUCAGUUUUCUAUGAAGCCUGUACCGCCCGCUCUUUGAAAGCUAUCCUGGGAUGGGAUGACAUCCAUCUCUUCAUUCCUUACACGGCACAGAGGACAGAACUGGCCAUAGAUGUUCACCGGACUUCACUGUUUUACAAUAACUACACUGAAAACUACUCCUAUUUUCCCCUACAGAUAGGGCAUGCUGCCUAGAGCAUAAACCAAAGCCUUGGUACUAUGGAUCUGUUUCUGUGUUCAUAAUUAUGUUAGUAUGAUCUAUAAGGCUUUAUUUUAUAUUUCUUUAGAAUGUAUUUUGUGUACCCUCCUGGAUAUCAUUGGCACUAUGUAUGUAGUAUGCAAAUUAGGUACCUUUUGCAGUGUAUAUUACAUGUAUCUAAUAUACAAUUAAUUGUAAUGGUUUUGAUAAAUUAUUAGGUU